RNAcentral lists this long non-coding RNA (514 nucleotides) under Glycine max (soybean). RNAcentral's name for it is "long non-coding RNA (GMAX_LNC001286)". Lineage: Eukaryota; Viridiplantae; Streptophyta; Magnoliopsida; Fabales; Fabaceae. The record is from RNAcentral.
AAAAAUUAAAAGUUACAAUUUUUUUAGAUAUCUUAUAUGUUACCAAUACUUUCUAAGGGAUACAAUGCAAUAUAAUUACUUUGUAAGGCAUUGAAACAAUAGUCACAAUAUUGUCUAAUUAUGUAAAACUAAUAUAGUAGUAGGCAAUCAUAAUUGCUAUUAGUUUUUAUUAAUGUGGCAUUGUCUAAUCAAACGGCCCUAGGGCUUAGCUCCAACAAAACAUAAUAGUUAACCAUAAAUUAUAUAAAUUUCAUUGUAACAAUUGAAGAAGAGAAAAAUAAGGGGCCUAAGGCGAUGGGCUAACCCACCACACCACUAUGCUUAAAUGAAUUUUUAUCAAAUGAGGAGAACAAAGCUUAUAUCUUGGCGGUGGGUUAAGCAUAACUAUGGGUACAGGCUAUGGUCGUGAAAGACUGAAAGGUAUGACACUUUUUAUCGUUUAUUCGAAAACAUGGUAGUACUUAUUGUAGUGUUUAUGUGUAUACAUACAUAAAAGGAUUGUUAGUUGUAUGGG